Molecule: non-coding RNA, 505 nt
Organism: Schizosaccharomyces pombe (fission yeast)
Lineage: Eukaryota; Fungi; Ascomycota; Schizosaccharomycetes; Schizosaccharomycetales; Schizosaccharomycetaceae
Source: the annotation of a GenBank genome assembly
ACCGAUAUCGGAGAAAGAAAUGUUGGUUAUGGACAGGUUCGCAGAGGGUACAUUAGCGUCAAGCAAUUUUCGAUUACCUAACGAACUCGAGUUUACCGAACCAAAUUAAUAAGUUAAUAGUAAUAUUCUUAAAGAUAGGUAUUUUUGCGCAAAAUUAAAGAGUAUAAAAGAAAUCUAAACGGCUAUAUACCUGAUAAUUUCAUAAGAGAAUUUAUUUUUUUUAAAUUUUUUUUGGCUAAUAUCGUUUAUAUUUAUCAAUACUUUUAGAAUUCACAGACAACUGCUUCCUAAAUUAAUUGCUUUAUUUUAUCAGCGAUUUAAAUGCACCUAUCGUAUUUUACGCGAUUUUGGGACACAUAUUCUACAGGGUCUGUUGCAAUUAUCCAUAUAAAAAUUUGUCUAUGUAACUAGUCUUAGUUUCUUCUUUCUUUUUGAUGUGUAACAAAACCAAUUAUUUGCUAAACAGUCAUUUUAUAAAGAGUUCGUUCAAGUACCAGCAAGUUAG